UUCACCUCGGACCACGCCAUGACACUGCGUUGAUGUUUUAGAUUUCGAAGCUCACAAGGAGGACACCACAAGUCCAAAUCAGGCCGGCUCUACAUCGACAAGUCACAGGUUCUCUGUCUUGUUCUUGAUGGCUUCAACAAGACUAGCAUACCCCACUCAGCACGCCAUGGCACUGCUUUGAUGUUUUAGCUCUUGAAGCGCGCAAGGAGACCACCACAAUUCCAAAUCUGGGCGGCUCUACAUCUACAGGUCACAGGUUCUCUGGCUGCAACAACAAGACUAGUAUUACCCACUCACCAAGCCAUGACAAAUGAGACAAGCAGGUUCCUAUAGGUCCAAAUCUAGCUGGAUCUACGCCAAUUACAAAUCCAGCUUUCCUGGCCAGGUUGUUCUCUAGUUUUGCUGGGUAAAAGGAACAAGGAGGAAGAUCAGAUCCAGCUACUUGUCAUCAGCAACAAGCUUGCACACUCUUUGAUCAUGACAAUGACUCCAUGAUAGUUCAAAAUCUCUAUGAUCAAGCUACAAUGACAACAAGACCAGCUGAGCCAUGAUGUCUCUUCUUUUUCUUUUUACGAGAAGAUUGUUCUGGUGGUUUCAGAUUCAAAAGUGCACAAGGAGGCUACCAAGAUCGAUCAGAUCUAAGCCAU
This is a long non-coding RNA of Triticum dicoccoides, 647 nucleotides long. RefSeq lists it as uncharacterized. NCBI's taxonomy places the organism in Eukaryota, Viridiplantae, Streptophyta, Magnoliopsida, Poales, Poaceae. The transcript is spliced from 4 exons. The record is from RefSeq and is a predicted model, not a curated record.